GGAGCUGUGGCCGAGUGGUCGAAGGCGCGCCCUUGCUAAGGGUGUGAACCGAAAGGUUCCGAGGGUUCGAAUCCCUUCGGCUCCG
This 85-nucleotide transfer RNA is filed under the name Pontivivens marinum. RNAcentral describes it as "Monaibacterium marinum tRNA_Ser_GCT". It matches the Rfam family "tRNA". From Rfam's summary of the family: Transfer RNA (tRNA) molecules are approximately 80 nucleotides in length. Their secondary structure includes four short double-helical elements and three loops (D, anti-codon, and T loops). The record is from RNAcentral. Lineage: Bacteria; Pseudomonadati; Pseudomonadota; Alphaproteobacteria; Rhodobacterales; Paracoccaceae.